UACGUAGGGUGCAGGCGUUAAUCGGAAUUACUGGGCGUAAAGGGCGCGUAGGCGGCGCGGUAAGUCACUUGUGAAAUCUCUGAGCUUAACUCAGAACGGCCAAGUGAUACUGCAGUGCUAGAGUGUGGAAGGGGCAAUCGGAAUUCUUGGUGUAGCGGUGAAAUGCGUAGAUAUCAAGAGGAACACCUGAGGUGAAGACGGGUUGCUGGGCCAACACUGACGCUGAGGCGCGAAAGCUAGGGGAGCGAACGGG
RNAcentral lists this ribosomal RNA (253 nucleotides) under uncultured bacterium. Its description in RNAcentral is "partial 16S ribosomal RNA". It matches the Rfam family "Bacterial small subunit ribosomal RNA", at positions 524 to 776 of the family's 1533-position model. The record is from RNAcentral.